GUAGUUACUCUUCAUCUGCCCAGUUUCAGAUGUAUUUCAGAUGUCUGAGUGUCCAAGGUGAAGUCAGAGAUGAAUAUGAUAUUUUGAGGCACGAGAAUGGUAUAAUGGUCAUACAGGUGAGUAAAAUUGAGUGAGAAGAAACCUUCCAAGGAGCUGUAAAGCUGGGAAAAAAAGGUCUAUUGCUGAAAGAAGAAGCAUAGAAAUCUGAGCUCUGUUUGCUCCUACGGUUUUAUUUCUAACUUUGGGAAGUCCUUAACUGAACUGUGAAACAUGUCACAUAGAGAGAGGAGGAAAUUCUUUUCCAUUCUGUAGGAUUUUUUGUUCAUGAGUUUGAUAUUUGUUUCAAAAGAUGAAGGGAAAUACAAGCAGAAAAAUCAAUUGGUUGAUAAAUUCAAAACCUUAUGGAAAAAAUAAGGGCCAGCUCUUCUUGAAAUUGGAUCUGCUUUAUUUCUCUUGAGAGGAAGCAGAAGUUUUUCCUUUUACAAACUGAGAAAUUUAACUGGACAAAACCAUACAGAAUAUGUGGUACUGCAGAUAUUAGAAAAAUUAUGAUAUAAAAUAUCAUAUCUUAGAAACAUUCAUAUUUGUAAUUCCAGAACUAUAAGAUUUUGUGUCUAUUCAAGCAGCUAAAUUUUCCUUAAUGUCUUUCACAAAAAUAUAUGAUAAUUUAAGUAUAGAAAUGCUAGUAAUACACAGCAAACAAGCAAAACAAAACAUAACAAAACAGAACAAAGCAACCCCCCAAAGAGUAGACAGAGCUUAUUGCUGUGGCCAGACAGUGAAUUGAUUACCUGAAUUUGAUUCACUGGCUUGCUAUUUUAUGAAUGCUUGACCCUGUGAAAGCCAGAAGAUAUAUUAAUGAUAUUAUCUUACACUUGACUUACACUGAAACAUUCAUAUUUUGGAAACAAACAAAAAAUUUUCUACAGUAAGUACAUAGAAGUAAGGAAAGCAAAGCAAAUACCCAGCCCAAAUAAGUCCAGAAAGAAUUUCUCUGAAAGAGGAUAAUGUUUCAUUGAUUAUAUAUUCAGGCCUGAAGCCUUUUGCUUUGGACUGUGUUUCAAUACUGCAUUUUCCAAAAUUCAGUCACUGUUUUUAAAUAACAGAAAUUUUGUACAUAUACUUGGUAAUGGUAAGUGAAUAUUUGGCCCAUGUCAACUCCAUUUAAUCAUGAAGAAGAAAACUCUCUUUUUUAGUAUCAAAUUCAGUUUGGCUGCAAGCAGUUUUAUAUGAUUAAAUUUUUGACUGGAUACUGCAAGCAGUGCCAUGAGAUUUAGCUAACCAUCUGUGCAGCUUGAGUAUUGAUAAUGACUACCUCAAUCUCACUACAGUAUUUUAGUCAUGUUGCUUAUGAGACAGUGAUAAACUAAGAUCUCAUUCAUUCUCACUAGGCCAUUCAUAUUUUAACAAAUUUUUGGUAUCAAACAAACUGUUAAAACUCACAAUCUAUUUGAGGGCAAAUAUUAUCAGUAAAAAUGGUGAAUUAUAUAUUAUGGUUUUUGUCUUUGAUGAUCUGGAAUAUACUAUAGCCUGUUUUAGGGAAGUUUUCUUGUUAGAAGUAAUCUUGGAAAAGUAAUCACCAAAAUGCUAGAUGGAAUUAAAACUUACACUCUUCUAGCAGCACUAUUUUUAAGCAAAGCUAAUAACAGAGAAUGAAUCCUGCAGAUUAAGUCUUAAAGACUCUGGAGAAAAGCUACUUUCUAUUAAAGACCAAACAGAUGAAAAAAGGAAAAAAAAAAAUUCAUUGCCUCUCCUAACCAGUGAGUUCUUGGAUUCACAUGCUGAUAGUGAAAUGUUGACAAAGAAAAAGAUGGGAAAGGAGGUGGGAAAACUCAUUACUUUCACUGGCUUUGUUUCUGUUUUUUUUAUUAUCCAUAUUGACAGAACUAUCAUUAGGAAAAUAUUACAUGAAGAUAAUUUACAAUUUUUUCCCCAGAAUGUAUUUUAAUAUAACAGAUUAAAACAGAUUAACAUUUUUCUCUUGCUUCUGAAAAAUAAAUAAAUAAAUAAAUAAAAAUAAAAACACACCGGAAAAAAACAGAAAACCCACAACAAUAUUAACUUAAUAGAAAAAGAAAACAAAGACAACAUGACAAGGGAAGGUAUUGUUCAAUUGGGCCUUUAAAUAUUACAGGAAAACCAGCAAGCAACUUUAAAUCUCUUUCUCAGUAAGAAAUGAUAGCCAAAAACCUAAUCUGGAGGGAACACAGCCAAAUGUCUUCAAGUUGUAAUUAGCAAAGGACAAUAUUACAUUUUGAAACCCAUUUGCUACAAGGGUUUAAAAAUUAUUCGCCAAAUGGAACAUAUUCAAAGUACACUUGAAAAUGCUCAUGCUUUAUGUUUUCAGUAUGUUCUAUGACCUCCACUCUUACCUAGAAAGGUAAGAGUCUUAGAAACAUUUACCCUGUCAUUUUCUCCAAAAUCAUCAAGACACUCUUGCUUGAGAGAGAACUCAAGUCCCUGAGGAGACUCGGGAAUAUUUGAUACUUCUAGUCAUUAAAAAACUUCACUGAGUCCAGCAGCCCGAGAAAUUCAAUUCAGUACUGCUUCAUUAUUCUAGAUCAAAACAGUGACAAUGGGCACUAACUUCAACAUAGGUUAAUUGCAAAACUGUAUUUGGUUGUUUGUGUUUGCUUCCAAAGAUUUCAGGAAGUAUUGUUGAACAGACUUUACCAGAAACAUUUAGUAUGAAAGAAUAAUACAUAGAGAAUCUAUAACUUUUAUAGGAAGAAAUUGAUGGGUUUGAGAACUAAUCUUAAUAAUAUCUUUAAAAAGAAUAAAUUUUGAGUUCAAGUCAGAACACUAAUAAUAAUUUGCCCUGCAAAAGGAUUUCAGGAGAGAUAAAUUUCUAAUUAUAUUCUAAAACAAUUCAGGAGGAAGUAAAAUUAUUCAUAGUUUGGCUACUGUGGAGUGAAAACAUAUUCUUGAAUGUUGUAUUUUGCCCACAGCGAGCCAAAGGACAAAAAUUGUAGAGAAAGAAAAAAAGAUUUUGUUUCAAUUCUUGGACUGGUCCUGGUUGAAUCAAAUCUUAUGAAACAUCACUUUUAUUAGAUGCAGAGGAUGAUAGCAGGUUUGAGAGGAGGGCUCAUGUGAACCUCAGGAGUUUCAACAAAGCCAAAGACAUGAUCCUGCUCCUGGCUCAGAGAAAUUUCAAACACAAACACAAGCUGGUCAGAGAAUGGAAUGAGAAAAGCCCAGAGGAUAAUGAUUUGUGGGUGUCAGCUGAUGAGAUACUCAAUAUGAGCUGCCAAAAUGUGCUUGCAGCCUAGAAAGCCAAUGGCAUCCUGGGUUACAUCAAAGGAAGCGUGACCAGCAGGGCAAGGGAGGGAAUCAUCCCCUUCUGUUUCUCCUCCUUAUGAGGAUUCUACCUAGAGCACUGUGUUCAGUUCUGGAAUCUACAGCGUAAAAAGGACAUGGACGUGUUGGAGUGAGUCUGGAGGAGGCUAAGAAUGAUCAGAGGACUGGAGGAUCUCUCCUGCUAAGAAAGGUUGAGGGAGUUAGAUUUGUAACACCCUGGAGAAGAGAAGACUUCAGGAAGAACUCAUAAGGCCUUCUAGUACUUAAAGGGGGACUACAGGAAAGAUAGGGGAGACUCCUUAUCAGAGAGUACAGUAAUAGGAUAAGGGAUAAUGGCUUUAAACUGAAAUAGAGGAGAUUUAGAUUAGAUAUCAGGAAGAAAUUCUUAUUCAGAAAGUGAUGAGGUCCUGGCACAAGCAGUCCAGAGAAGCUGUGGGUGCCCCAGCCUUGGAAGCAUUCAAGACCAGGUUUGAUGGGGCAAGCUGAGCUGCUGGGUGCCUCAUCCAUGGCAGGGUUUGGAACUAGUUGGUCUUUAAGUUCCCUUACAAUCCAAACCAUUCUGUGAUUCUAUGAUUAUAAGAGGCUGGAAAGACUAAUACAACAUAAUUUCUUAAUCAAGCAAUUAAUCCUAUUAUAGGAAGGAGACAAGCCAUUAUAUUGUAGCAUAUUACAUAUUAGUUUCUGAAGUACUUUGUUCUGUAGGUUUUGGCAUUAUAAAAUCUCAACUAUUCUAAUGAUUUUUAAUUAGUGUUUCAUGUUACUUUCACAGAGAAUUGAUGUUUCUGCUUUUGUGAAAAAUAUGUUAGAUUCAUUUCUAAUACUUCUGUAUGCCUGGUUUUUAGUAGUAAUAUGUAUGUGAUCAUUGCCUAUGGCUACAAGAUGUGCUCAGUGUCACAGAAUGCUUACAUAUGCCUCUAUCUUGUCUUAGGGGUCAGUGAGUGAAUGAAUGCAUUUCCUGUAAAAUAUAAGCCAGUUUGGAGUUGAAACACUUCACAUGAUUUUUUGUUGUUUAUGGCUGCAUCUCACUGUGCUCACCCAGCUUACAAAAGUCACAAUUCAUCACAAUAAUUACUAACGCAAAUACAGAUAAUACCAAAGGUAAGUCCCAGAUAUUGCAGAAUGACUUCAGUGUAAUUCCCAAAGAAUAGUAAAUACCACAAUUUAUAUAAGUAAUAGAAAUGAAGGUGUAAAAGUUAUUAUUAUUUUCCUUCCAGAAAAGGCCCAUCUAAAUACACAUCUUUGGCAGUUAUCUUAGGAAAUUAAAGCUUCUGGGUAAAUGAGACUCAAUCUGCUGUAUUGCUGAUGCUACCAGAAGUGUUAGUUAAAAGGAGUGUGUUGUUUUCACUUUAAAGAAAACAAGGCAGAGGGCAAAAAUUGAAUGACACUGAAUGCUGAAUAAUGUGUUUAGAAAAAAUGGAUCUUUGGACAGGGACUAAGGUCCCUCUCCAGUCUGCAGCUGACAGAACUUGAUUAUGUUUUCUUUGUUCUCCCAUCUCAGCUCCUUUACAAGCAUUUCUAAGCUAAAUAUUCAAUUAAAAGGAUAUUGCUAAACUCACUGGUAUAAGAUUUUUAAUCAAAAUGUCCAGACACAUUUUUCUCUGGAUGAUUUCAACAUGUGCCAGAAGAAGAGGUACUUAAAACUGUGGAAGUGUUUGACAUAAAUCUUUUAAGUCAGUACUCUUUGCCUUCUAGAACAAUGCACAUGACUAAAAGACACUAGAAAGUCAGUGUAUAUUAAAUUUCAUAUCCAAAUUAUAAAAGAAAAAGUGAGAAGCUGAAAUUUAAGAAAAAAAAAAUAUAGAUUUCCUGAUUUCUCACAAGGGAGCUAUAUUCUGUGAUAUAUCUAUGGAAUAAGUCCAAAUAAAAGAUAACUUUAUCACUUGGAUGAGCACUGAGCUUCCAGAGCUCUACCUUCCUUACAUCCUUGGUCCUGUUCUGCUGGUUAUCUGGUUAUCACUUUUUUUUUUUUUAAUAAAUAAAUAACAAUAUAAACCAGUAAUUUACUUGAGGAAGAAAAAUGUACCCUUACUGCAAUGUCUUCAAGAGUUCUUGGGAACAAAUUAAAGAAUUUAUGUUUUUUGAAAGUAGAGAUUCUUUUACACAUUGUCAGUUUGUUUGCAGCUCUGACAGUUUGUUUUGGUUUGCUGGAAAUUUGCAUCUCCACCAAGAUCGAAAAUCAUGUCAGAGUGGCUGCAUUGUGUUCAGCAGCAAACCACUACAACCACUGGGACCAUGCAAAGUGAUAUUUUAGUGGUUUUCUAAUUAGUAUUAGAAAAUAUUAGAGACUUGAAAGGGAGGUAGAUCAAGUAUUCAGUGAGAAAAUUAUAAAGUACUGGGAGGAGAAAGAGCCACACAAAAUUGCAAAAGAAUAACCAAUUGAUACAUUUACAUUAUGAAAGAACUGCAGUGUCUGAAAGACAAGGAAAGGACAAGCAAACUAAAAACCCAAGGGUUACUGUGAUAAACCUGAGCAUUUAAUUAUAAAGCAAUAUUAAUUUCACCAAUUUUUCUUCUAACUUUGCCACAUUUCUUUGUUUGCCAUAAUGCAUCCAUUCUUCCAGUAGACUUUAUCACUUUUAUAAUUACAUAAGUUUUUUUUAAUUAUUUUUUUUUCCCAUUGGUUUUAAGGUCUCCCAGUGUUCAUAUGGAUUUUAGGUCUAGUGUUUGAGUUCAGACUUGGUGCAGUUCAUAGGAUGUCUGCCAUGCUGAGGCCUUUUUAUUCAUGUCACAUGGACUCUUAACGCAGGGUUAGCACUGAGGCAGAGGUAAGGUAGCAGGAGAUUUCUAUUCAGGGACCUGCUCAGUUUAAAAACGUUUCAUUUCCCCUUUUCCUUAGUCCAGAGGAAAAUUUAACCAUGUAGCAAGUGCCUGGUUCAUCAGAUGCAGCUCUCCAACCCCAGUUGUGCAUCUGCACCAUUUAGGAAAAGAUUUACAAAGCCAGACAGGGAGGCUAUGCUGAAGUAGCCAGGCUGAAGUGAUUCCCUGCUGUUACACAUAAAACUAAUGUCUGCAACAAGACAAGAACUGAGGUUUUUAGUUCAUGUGGUAUUGUUUCUUAAUAGCCCUAGCAGGUUUAUUGAAAGACAUUUUCUUCAAGCCCAUUUAUGUAAAAGAAAUCAUAAAAAUGAAUGAUGUUAUUCAUCUCAACCAAGUGAUCCAUAAAUAAAUCAUGCCAGUGCUUAGGUCAGAUGCAGCUCUCAGACAGAGCUACAGCAGACACUUCAUUUUGCAUCAAGAGAGUCUGAAUCUGGUAUGUAGUGUCUCGACAGAGAAUCAUGGAGCCACAUUCAUCUCAUUUGCAAUAGCUGUACUUCAUUACUUUUGCCAUGUAAUGACCAUAUAUCUGCGUAACAAUUAUUUUAGAGAAACAUAAUCUAAAAUGCCAAGGUAAAUUUUUUACAUAAAUUCAGAGGUAGUAACACUGAUGACACUGUCAAAUGUGUUUCACUUGAUUGCUGGGAAGGCCCAGCUUCUCUCCUUACAGGCACCAGGAGCAGCACCAGAAGAGUGGGCAGUGUUGUUAUGUCAUGGAUGUUAUUCCUUCCAUGCACUUCAGUGUCUUCAGUCUGCAAUUUUGACAGAAAAAGCAAAAUCAAGUAACAACAAUGCAGGAUCCACAGACCAGGCAAUUAUCUCCAUUUGCUCUUUGAACGAUCAAGAAAAGUUUUAGAACUUUGCUACUUCACGAACGCAGCACAGCCAGUGCUUUCCUUUUAAACACAAAAUCAGGAGUCUGGAGAAGUAUGCUGAUGGGUGAGUGCAACAUUCUCUAUAGUGACAACAGAGAUGGAGAGUGAACUGUAGUCAAAGACUUCCAGAAGCAAGUCCUGUGCAUUUAAAUGUUGGCUCUUCAUCUGAAGACCUCCUGAAGUACCAUUCCUUCACUGGCUACACUGGAGACUCCAGGAACUGUUCUCACAAAUGUUGUUUCACCAAGGACCUAACAUAUAAGGACAAAGUAGAUGACUACAGGAGGCAGAGUAAACCUAGUUCAUACCUCUUAUUAAAUCCGGAUGUCAGAUAAAAAACCCUGCUAUUCAGCAGAAGAGUCUUGCUGUCA
This is a long non-coding RNA of Lagopus muta (rock ptarmigan), 7357 nucleotides long. RefSeq lists it as uncharacterized. The transcript is spliced from 3 exons. NCBI's taxonomy places the organism in Eukaryota, Metazoa, Chordata, Aves, Galliformes, Phasianidae. The record is from RefSeq and is a predicted model, not a curated record.